This 209-nucleotide unclassified non-coding RNA is filed under the name uncultured Mrakia. Its description in RNAcentral is "sequence contains ITS1". Lineage: Eukaryota; Fungi; Basidiomycota; Tremellomycetes; Cystofilobasidiales; Cystofilobasidiaceae. The record is from RNAcentral.
UAGUGAUUAAAUCGAGAGCGUCUUCAUUGACCUCUCACCCUUCACAUCCACAUACACCUGUGCACCGUUUGGCUCUUAUAAAAGACGCAAGUCUGCAAUGAGAGUCAUCAAUUUUAUACAUACCCCAGUCUUAUGAAUGUAACAGUUUUAAUAAACAUAAUAAAACUUUUAACAACGGAUCUCUUGGUUCUCGCAUCGAUAAGAACGCA